Molecule: ribosomal RNA, 372 nt
Filed under: uncultured organism
Description: bacterial SSU rRNA
Rfam family: Bacterial small subunit ribosomal RNA
Source: RNAcentral
CAGAGGUGGCAAGCGUUGUUCGGAAUUACUGGGCGUAAAGGGCGCGUAGGCGGCCUUCUAAGUCAGACGUGAAAUCCCCAGGCUUAACUUGGGAACUGCGUCUGAUACUGGAGGGCUCGAGUGCGGGAGAGGGAUGUGGAAUUCCAGGUGUAGCGGUGAAAUGCGUAGAUAUCUGGAGGAACACCGGUGGCGAAGGCGGCAUCCUGGACCGACACUGACGCUGAGGCGCGAAAGCUAGGGGAGCAAACGGGAUUAGAUACCCCGGUAGUCCUAGCCCUAAACGAUGAGUGCCUGGUGUGGCGGGUAUCGAUCCCUGCCGUGCCGAAGCUAACGCAUUAAGCACUCCGCCUGGGGAGUACGGUCGCAAGGCUG